CCUACGGGAGGCAGCAGUGGGGAAUAUUGCGCAAUGGGCGAAAGCCUGACGCAGCGACGCCGCGUGAGGGAUGAAGGUCUUCGGAUCGUAAACCUCUGUCAGCAGGGAAGAACGGUCACUGUGCUAAUCAGCAGUGCAUUGACGGUACCUGCAAAGGAAGCACCGGCUAACUCCGUGCCAGCAGCCGCGGUAAUACGGAGGGUGCGAGCGUUAAUCGAAAUUACUGGGCGUAAAGCGCUCGUAGACGGUAUGUCAAGUCAAGUGUGAAAUCCCCGCGCUCAACGUGGGAACUGCAUUUGAAACUGGCAAACUUGAGUGUAUUAGAGGAGAGAGGAAUUCCAGGUGUAGGAGUGAAAUCCGGAGAUAUCUGGAGGAACAUCAGUGGCGAAGGCGACUAUCUGGCACAUAACUGACGCUGAGGAGCGAAAGCGUGGGUAGCAAACAGGAUUAGAUACCCCAGUAGUC
This 465-nucleotide ribosomal RNA is filed under the name uncultured bacterium. Its description in RNAcentral is "partial 16S ribosomal RNA". It matches the Rfam family "Bacterial small subunit ribosomal RNA", at positions 338 to 795 of the family's 1533-position model. The record is from RNAcentral.